Molecule: long non-coding RNA, 202 nt
Organism: Rosa chinensis
Lineage: Eukaryota; Viridiplantae; Streptophyta; Magnoliopsida; Rosales; Rosaceae
Exons: 2
Source: RefSeq, a predicted model, not a curated record
GGUUUUGGUUAUUUGCUAGACUUGCAAAAGGAGUGCACAGAAAACUCCAUCCAUUCAGAACAACACUACAUUUAAGCAUGCAUCACCCUAAUAGCUAUCUCAGCAGCUGAGCAGCAUACUUCAAUUCAAUUUAUACAUUGUAAUACCAAUAAAAACAUAAUUUCAAUCUUUAUAUAAAAAUUCUGGUAUCUAAUUUAAAGGA